RNAcentral lists this ribosomal RNA (497 nucleotides) under uncultured bacterium. RNAcentral's name for it is "partial 16S ribosomal RNA". It matches the Rfam family "Bacterial small subunit ribosomal RNA", at positions 28 to 507 of the family's 1533-position model. The record is from RNAcentral.
GAUGAACGCUGGCGGCGUGCCUAAUACAUGCAAGUCGAGCGAACAGACGAGGAGCUUGCUCCUCUGACGUUAGCGGCGGACGGGUGAGUAACACGUGGAUAACCUACCUAUAAGACUGGGAUAACUUCGGGAAACCGGAGCUAAUACCGGAUAAUAUAUUGAACCGCAUGGUUCAAUAGUGAAAGACGGUUUUGCUGUCACUUAUAGAUGGAUCCGCGCCGCAUUAGCUAGUUGGUAAGGUAACGGCUUACCAAGGCCACGAUGCGUAGCCGACCUGAGAGGGUGAUCGGCCACACUGGAACUGAGACACGGUCCAGACUCCUACGGGAGGCAGCAGUAGGGAAUCUUCCGCAAUGGGCGAAAGCCUGACGGAGCAACGCCGCGUGAGUGAUGAAGGUCUUCGGAUCGUAAAACUCUGUUAUUAGGGAAGAACAAAUGUGUAAGUAACUAUUCACGUCUUGACGGUACCUAAUCAGAAAGCCACGGCUAACUACGUG